GACGAACGCUGGCGGCGUGCUUAACACAUGCAAGUCGAACGGAAAGGCCCUGCUUUUGUGUGGUGCUCGAGUGGCGAACGGGUGAGUAACACGUGAGUAACCUGCCCUUUACUUUGGGAUAACUUCAGGAAACUGGGGCUAAUACCGGAUAGGAGCUCCUGCUGCAUGGUGGGUGUUGGAAAGUUUCGGCUGUUGGGGAUGGACUCGCGGCUUAUCAGCUUGUUGGUGGUGUAGUGUCUUACCAAGGCUUUGACGCGUAGCCGGCCUGAGAGGGUGACCAGACACAUUGGGACUGAGAUACGGCAGAGACUCCUACGGCAGGCAGCAGUAGGGAAUAUUCCACAAUGGGCCGAAGUCUGAUGCAGCAACGCCGUGUGCGGAAUGACGGCCUUCGGGUUGUAAACUGCUUUCGACUGUGACGAAGCGUGAGUGGCGGUAAUGGGUAAAGAAGCACCGGCUAACUACGUG
Molecule: ribosomal RNA, 468 nt
Filed under: uncultured bacterium
Lineage: Bacteria
Description: partial 16S ribosomal RNA
Rfam family: Bacterial small subunit ribosomal RNA
Source: RNAcentral